AACGAACGCUGGCGGCAUGCCUAACACAUGCAAGUCGAACGAGACCAUCGGGUCUAGUGGCGCCCGGGUGCGUAACGCGUGGGAACCUGCCCUUAGGUUCGGAAUAACUCCCCGAAAGGGGUGCUAAUACCGGAUCAGGUCUUCGGACCAAAGAUUUAUCGCCUUGGGUGGGGCCGGCGUUGGAUUAGCUAGUUGGUUGGGUAAUAGCCUACCAAGGCGACGAUCCAUAGCUGGGCUGAGAGGAUGAUCAGCCACACUGGGACUGAGACACGGCCCAGACUCCUACGCGAGGCAGCAGUGCGGAAUAUUGGACAACGGGCGAAAGCCUGAUCCAGCAAUGCCGCGAGAGUGAUGAAGGCCUUAGGGUUGUAAAGCUCUUUUAACCGGGAUGAUAAUGACAGUACCGGGAGAAUAAGCUCCGGCUAACUCCGUG
This 433-nucleotide ribosomal RNA is filed under the name uncultured bacterium. RNAcentral's name for it is "partial 16S ribosomal RNA". It matches the Rfam family "Bacterial small subunit ribosomal RNA", at positions 29 to 507 of the family's 1533-position model. The record is from RNAcentral.